AUUUCUAAAAUGCAUUUUUAUCUUACGCAAGGCAGUAUACCAUAUUUUAUACCGUGGCUCUGAUCCGAAAUCAGGGCAUUUUUGUUCGAACAAAUACCUAUAAUAACGAUGAAGAAGUGCGUGAUCCGCGGAGCAAACGACCUACGUCGGGUCGGGACUGAUAUGCGUGUGACUGUGCACAAGUUCCCGCUAAAAAAAGAAGUACAGAGAAAAGUGGAUGAGGGUGUGUGGCAUGACCAAUGAGCCAAGACCACAUGACCACUUAAACUUAACAAGAAGUGCGCACCAUGAUAAGCACAGUCAAAAACGUUUGCGUCUAAAGAACAGUGCUGUGCCGGAUCAGAAUAUUCCGUAUACGCCUUGGGUUGCUGUCGCUGCUCGGUCACCCACAGAUGAAAGUGAUCAAGAAAUGGACAUCACUCAGGUGUGGGAUCACUCGUGGAAGUUCACGGCGGAUACGGAGCCGUGCAUGCAGCUCUGGUUCGAUCCUGCUCAGGGAAGCCCCAAUGACGCCGUGGCGCGCAUCUGGGAUGAGGUGGAACAGGUGGAGCUGGCGGUCACCUGCGCGGGCUCGGCGGCCUGUAAGCCGUGCCGAGACGAACCGCGACACUCUUGCUAGAUCUGCACCCCAUUGUAAUCUUCUGUAGUCGAUAUUCGGUAGGUACUCAAUGCUCAUUUUUCUGAUAUUAGACGAGUGGCGGGUUUUGAUGUUACAUUGGAGACUGCUGUCUCGGGUGGCCCGACAGUGUUCGAUUGUGGUGUAAUGUAGAUACAUAGACGGGAUGCCGCGGCUCGGAUUCGUAGCUGGACUACCAUGUGCCUGUCGAUUGAGAUGCUUUGCCUGGCGAUUGAGAUGAUUCGGGGCGCGGCCCCACACUGACGCCAUGGUGCAAUGAGUGACUGGCGACAACUAAGCAAUUAUGUACUUUUGUAGAACACAUGUUUUCAUGGAUACGAGAGGCAGUCCUUUUUUCGCUAGCAGUCACGAUACUUUCGAUACCGACAAAUAUGUUCGGGCGGCCGGUCCGUCCACAGCUAAUGCGUGCUUGCCCGCCGAUGCCUAACGGAGCGCUGUGCUGUCUACGCUCACUGGUCGCUGGCCCGAGAGCCGUUCGGUUGCUGCUGUUAAAACAGUUCUCACAAAAACACGCUGGCUGGCUGCCAGUUCUUCACCAAUGAGAGGCCCAGUAGCAUCAGCAGGUAGCAUUGUUUAAUAUUACUAUUCCAUUUUGUUUACCCAUAUGUCCGACCUAGAGCCGACUGGUAAAAAGCGGCAACCGAGCAGCCCUCCGCAGCGCUGCAGAUCAUGUACGCUCGAUUAUACACAAUAUAUGUGUCUUUCUUGCACACAGAGACAUGA
This is a long non-coding RNA of Amphibalanus amphitrite, 1360 nucleotides long. RefSeq lists it as uncharacterized. NCBI's taxonomy places the organism in Eukaryota, Metazoa, Arthropoda, Thecostraca, Balanomorpha, Balanidae. The record is from RefSeq and is a predicted model, not a curated record. The transcript is spliced from 4 exons.